RNAcentral lists this ribosomal RNA (250 nucleotides) under uncultured prokaryote. RNAcentral's name for it is "partial 16S rRNA". It matches the Rfam family "Bacterial small subunit ribosomal RNA", at positions 525 to 775 of the family's 1533-position model. The record is from RNAcentral.
ACGUAGGGGGCAAGCGUUAACCGGAAGGAAUGGGAGAAAAGAGAGCGGAGGUGGUUUUUUAAGCGUGAGGUGAAAGGCAAUAGCUUAACUAUUGUAAGCCUUGCGAACUGGAAGACUUGAGUGCAGGAGAGGAAAGUGGAAUUCCUAGUGUAGCGGUGAAAUGCGUAGAUAUUAGGAGGAACACCAGUGGCGAAGGCGACUUUCUGGACUGUAACUGACACUGAGGCACGAAAGCGUGGGGAGCAAACAG